This 285-nucleotide long non-coding RNA is filed under the name Hordeum vulgare. RNAcentral describes it as "long non-coding RNA (HVUL_LNC005764)". The record is from RNAcentral. Lineage: Eukaryota; Viridiplantae; Streptophyta; Magnoliopsida; Poales; Poaceae.
CGGCUUUCUAAAAGCCCUCGGCACAGAAAAGCUGUAGGCAUAUCUACAUCUACGCCGACAGCCUCCGUCGGCAUAGCAAAGGCCGUCGGCCUACAGAAUAGUAGGCCUACGGCCAUCGUCGGCGUACAUAGGCCGUCGGUAUAGAUGUGGGGCCGGCGACGGGCCCCGGUCCGGGGGCUGACGCCGUCGAAUCUAUGCCGACGGCUGGACGUCUGGCCGUCGGCAUAGAUACACAAAGCCACAUCAUCGAUCCGGGGUGCACCGACCAGCAUCUAUGCCGACGGC